Molecule: long non-coding RNA, 592 nt
Filed under: Cricetulus griseus (Chinese hamster)
Lineage: Eukaryota; Metazoa; Chordata; Mammalia; Rodentia; Cricetidae
Description: lncRNA (ENSCGRG00015038267.1)
Source: RNAcentral
AUAUGCUGCCGUUGAAACAACGAUUCAGAAAAUGGAUGUUGGAAAUAAUGCAAUUCAUGCUAAGCCCAGAAUGCAAUAAUAAACCAAAGAGAAAAACAUCCUGCGGUCUGUGUGCAUUCAAAUGGAAUUUGGAAUAUGAACCAAUAAGGAGAGUGAUCUCACUUCCAUCAAAGGAAAGCAAAUACCCAGGAAAGCUUUGAGAGCUCCUUCAGAGCUUCUGAAUAAUUUCUUCCUCCAAACUAAACGAGUGAUGCUGCAGAAAAAACAGAAUAGAAAGUGGAUGGCAGGAAAAAGCAUACUUUAUCCUAGGCAUUGAAUACAAUACAAAAAAGAGAAAAACAUCUUUGGCAAACCACAAUUGAUAUCUGGAAUAUAACCAGAACUUCGAUAGUAAAAUGUGCUCUGCUGACAACAUUAAUUCUCAUUGCCUCUGAUGAAUUAGGAUAUACAUUCAAACUGUGCAUGGAAUAGUAACCAAUAAAGAAAUGAUCUAAUUUCCACCAGUAGAAACAAAUGCUGAUAUAACAUUGAAGAUUAUUUUAGAGCUGCUGAUUCUUUUCUCCCUCCCAAUUAUACAUGUGCCAGAGCAGAG